CGGGUUGUAGCUCAGUUGGUAGAGCGCACGAUUCGGGUUCGUGAGGCCCCGGGUUCGAGCCCCGGCAGCCCGA
This 73-nucleotide transfer RNA is filed under the name bacterium. RNAcentral's name for it is "tRNA-Pro". It matches the Rfam family "tRNA". From Rfam's summary of the family: Transfer RNA (tRNA) molecules are approximately 80 nucleotides in length. Their secondary structure includes four short double-helical elements and three loops (D, anti-codon, and T loops). The record is from RNAcentral.